UCACGGCUACUACGUGCCAGCAGCGCGGUAAUACGUAGGUGGCAGCGUUAUCCGGAUUUAUUGGGCGUAAAGAGAGUGCAGGCGGUUUUCUAAGUCUGAUGUGAAAGCCUUCGGCUUAACCGGAGAAGUGCAUCGGAAACUGGAUAACUUGAGUGCAGAAGAGGGUAGUGGAACUCCAUGUGUAGCGGUGGAAUGCGUAGAUAUAUGGAAGAACACCAGUGGCGAAGGCGGCUACUGGUCUGCAACUGACGCUGAGACUCGAAAGCAUGGGUAGCGAACAGGAUUAGAUACCCUGGUAGUCCAUGCCGUAAACGAUGAGUGCUAGGUGUUGGAGGGUUUCCGCCCUUCAGUGCCGGAGCUAACGCAUUAAGCACUCCGCCUGGGGAGUACGACCGCAAGGUUGAAACUCAAAGGAAUUGACGGGGGCCCGCACAAGCGGUGGAGCAUGUGGUUUAAUUCGAAGCUACGCGAAGAACCUUACCAGGUCUUGACAUCUUGCGCCAACCCUAGAGAUAGGGCGUUUCCUUCGGGAACGCAAUGACAGGUGGUGCAUGGUCGUCGUCAGCUCGUGUCGUGAGAUGUUGGGUUAAGUCCCGCAACGAGCGCAACCCUUGUUACUAGUUGCCAGCAUUAAGUUGGGCACUCUAGUGAGACUGCCGGUGACAAACCGGAGGAAGGUGGGGACGACGUCAGAUCAUCAUGCCCCUUAUGACCUGGGCUACACACGUGCUACAAUGGACGGUACAACGAGUCGCGAACUCGCGAGGGCAAGCAAAUCUCUUAAAACCGUUCUCAGUUCGGACUGCAGGCUGCAACUCGCCUGCACGAAGUCGGAAUCGCUAGUAAUCGCGGAUCAGCAUGCCGCGGUGAAUACGUUCCCGGGCCUUGUACACACCGCCCGUCACACCAUGAGAGUUUGUAACACCCAAAGUCGGUGGGGUAACCUUUUAGGAGCCAGCCGCCUAAGUGAUCCUUGAAGAAAAAGUUUUUCCGCACGCCC
Molecule: ribosomal RNA, 1000 nt
Filed under: Limosilactobacillus fermentum
Lineage: Bacteria; Bacillati; Bacillota; Bacilli; Lactobacillales; Lactobacillaceae
Description: bacterial SSU rRNA
Rfam family: Bacterial small subunit ribosomal RNA
Source: RNAcentral